GACGAACGUUGGCGGCGUGCUUAAUACAUGCAAGUCAACUGAAGCAUUGGUAGUAAUACUGAUGUGGAGGUGGCGCACGGGUGAGUAACACGUAGGUAAUCUGCCUAUAGGUCUGACAUAACUCCGGGAAACCGAAGCUAAUAUCAGAUGAUGCAGCGGCUCGACAUCGAGACAGUUGUUAAACCUUCGGGGCCUAUAGAUGAGCCUGCGCCUGAUUAGCUAGUUGGCGGGGUAACAGCCCACCAAGGCAACGAUCAGUAGCUGGUCUGAGAGGAUGAUCAGCCACACUGGAACUGAGAUACGGU
RNAcentral lists this ribosomal RNA (305 nucleotides) under uncultured bacterium. Its description in RNAcentral is "bacterial SSU rRNA". It matches the Rfam family "Bacterial small subunit ribosomal RNA", at positions 28 to 330 of the family's 1533-position model. The record is from RNAcentral.